UGACUACAAGCAGACUUGCUCAGUAGCAUCAUGUGUGCAGACGGAGACUGGUGUACUUAAAGGAGACACCCUGACAUUUUAGUUGAGGUCCUCACUGAGAAGACUGCUGAGAAAUUACUGGGAUUUAAGAAAAAGAUCACUCCAACUUGUGAAACAUCGUUAUCGGGCUGUCUU
Tachysurus fulvidraco (yellow catfish) is the source of this 174-nucleotide long non-coding RNA. RefSeq lists it as uncharacterized. The record is from RefSeq and is a predicted model, not a curated record. The transcript has 3 exons. Lineage: Eukaryota; Metazoa; Chordata; Actinopteri; Siluriformes; Bagridae.